UGCGCAGGCGGUUAUGUAAGACAGAUGUGAAAUCCCCGGGCUCAACCUGGGAACUGCAUUUGUGACUGCAUGGCUAGAGUACGGUAGAGGGGGAUGGAAUUCCGCGUGUAGCAGUGAAAUGCGUAGAUAUGCGGAGGAACACCGAUGGCGAAGGCAAUCCCCUGGACCUGUACUGACGCUCAUGCACGAAAGGCUGGGAGCAAACA
Molecule: ribosomal RNA, 206 nt
Filed under: uncultured bacterium
Lineage: Bacteria
Description: partial 16S ribosomal RNA
Rfam family: Bacterial small subunit ribosomal RNA
Source: RNAcentral